Long non-coding RNA from Cololabis saira (Pacific saury), 410 nucleotides. RefSeq lists it as uncharacterized. The transcript is spliced from 3 exons. NCBI's taxonomy places the organism in Eukaryota, Metazoa, Chordata, Actinopteri, Beloniformes, Belonidae. The record is from RefSeq and is a predicted model, not a curated record.
UCAACGUUGUCCGACCGGUCGGACGGUCCCCGUGGGUUGAGCGCACAUCCGCGCUCCCUCCGAAUGCCAUGAACGCAGGUAGAGGCUUCAGAGGAAGCCCGUGUCCUGCAGGCAUUGUCAUGUUAAACAGCUGUAUUGUGCGCUGCGGAUAAAAGCCCCCUCUAUUCUAGGGUGUGCUUUGAAUCCAAGCCUAAUCCAGUCAGAGCUGAGCCACGUGGCAGAUAAGUGUCGAGAAAAGAUGAGAUGGGCGGAUGAAGAGGGAUGAAGAAGGAUCCAGGCUGUUAAACUAAUGGACAGGGAGACAAAGGAGCAUCUGCAGCGAAGAGGACAUGCUCUGCUGAGCUGUGUGAGCAUUUAAAAACCAGUUUCCUGAUACACUGCGUGCAGAUCAGAUCUGAGCCACAAAAAAG